This 119-nucleotide ribosomal RNA is filed under the name Lupinus angustifolius (narrow-leaved blue lupine). The record is from RNAcentral. Lineage: Eukaryota; Viridiplantae; Streptophyta; Magnoliopsida; Fabales; Fabaceae.
AGGUUCGAUCAUACCAGCACUAAUGCACCAGAUCCCAUCAAAACUCCGCAAUUAAGCAUGCUUAGGCGAGAGUAGUACUAGGAUGGGUGACCUCCUAGGAAGUCCUUGUGUUGCACCUC